Molecule: ribosomal RNA, 1680 nt
Filed under: Cryptocentrus cinctus
Lineage: Eukaryota; Metazoa; Chordata; Actinopteri; Gobiiformes; Gobiidae
Description: 16S ribosomal RNA
Rfam family: Bacterial large subunit ribosomal RNA (bases 100-1573)
Source: RNAcentral
CACACCCCAACAGCUAGCUCAGCCACUAAAAAUCAACAAACAACAUUAAUUAUCCCCCCAAUAACCACCCCCAACAAAACAAACCAUUUUUCCACCCGAGUACGGGAGACAGAAAAGGACCCCCGGCGCCAUAGAAAAAGUACCGCAAGGGAAAGCUGAAAGAGAACUGAAAAAACCCAGUGAAGGAGACAAAAGCAAAGAUUAAACCUUGUACCUUUUGCAUCAUGAUUUAGCGAGCAUCACUCAAGCAAAACGCCUUUUAUGUUUGAGCCCCCGAAACUAAGCGAGCUACUCCAAGACAGCCUAUUAUAGGGCAAACCCGUCUCUGUGGCAAAAGAGUGGGAAGAGCUUUGAGUAGAGGUGACAGACCUACCGAGCUUAGUUAUAGCUGGUUGCCUGAGAAAUGAAUAGAAGUUCAGCCCUUUAACCCCCUCCGCCAAGCAGGGUGCCACCUCCCGCCGGCCGAAGGAAAAUUAAAGGAGUUAUUCAAAAGAGGGACAGCUCUUUUGAAAAAAGACACAACUUUAUGAGCCGGCAAAAGAUCAUAAUAUUUAAGGAAAUUCACCCAAGUGGGCCUAAAAGCAGCCACCCCUAAAGAAAGCGUUACAGCUCAAGUGUUUAAGCCCCUUAAUUUCGACAAAGACAUCUUCUGCCCCUCAGACCUACCGGGCCUACCCAUGCACCCAUGGGUGAGACAAUGCUAGAAUGAGUAAUAAGAGAGUAAGACUCUCUCAAAUGCAUCCCUGUAAAUCAGAACGAACCCCCACUGAAAAUUAACGCCCCCAACCCAAGAGGGAAAUGAAAAACACACACAAAGCAAGAAGAACCCCCAACCCCGUCGAGCGUUAACCCCACACAGGAGUGCCCCAAGAAAGACGAAAGGAAGAAGAAGGAACUCGGCAAACACUGGCCUCGCCUGUUUACCAAAAACAUCGCCUCUUGCCCCCAAGGUAUAAGAGGUCCCGCCUGCCCUGUGACGAAAGUUUAACGGCCGCGGUAUUUUGACCGUGCGAAGGUAGCGUAAUCACUUGUCUUUUAAAUAGAGACCUGUAUGAAUGGCACAACGAGGGCCAAGCUGUCUCCUUUUUCCAGUCAAUGAAAUUGAUCUGCCCGUGCAGAAGCGGGCAUAUACGCAUAAGACGAGAAGACCCUAUGGAGCUUAAGACACCAGGGCAGGCCACGUCAAAACCCCUAAGCAAACAGGAACAAACCAAAUGGCCCCUGCCCCCUUGUCUUUGGUUGGGGCGACCGCGGAGAAACAAGUAACCCCCACGUGGAAUGGGCAACCCACCCCAAAGCCAGAGCCACAGCUCUAACAAGCAGAAAAUCUGACCAUCAAGAUCCGGCAAAGCCGAUCAACGGACCCAGUUACCCUAGGGAUAACAGCGCAAUCCCCUUUUAGAGCUCAUAUCGACAAGGGGGUUUACGACCUCGAUGUUGGAUCAGGACAUCCUAAUGGUGCAGCCGCUAUUAAGGGUUCGUUUGUUCAACGAUUAAAGUCCUACGUGAUCUGAGUUCAGACCGGAGAAAUCCAGGUCAGUUUCUAUCUAUGACGCACUCUUUUCUAGUACGAAAGGACCGAAAAGAGGGGGCCCAUGCUUUAAGUAAGCCCCACCCCGACCUAAUGAGCCCCACUAAAGGAGGCAAAGGGGGUUGCCCCAGUGCCCGAGAAAAAGGCAA